UCAACAUUGCAGAAUUCGAAGUAUCAUCACCAUUCUCUUUGAUCAAAACUAAGCCGUCUGUAAUCUCCACAACUGGCUGAUGAUUGUCGGUAAGAUCCGUAGAUGCUCUAGGGUCUGGACAAUUGAUGUUUUGUGUAUCUUCUUUCAGGUCUCCUUUUGAUCGAUCAGAUGUUCCUUGCUCAGUUGGCUCAUCCCUCACUGUCGCAUCAGCUACAGAACACGACAAUGGAUUCAUCGACUCUGUUUGAGCAUUUGAUUCAAAACUGUAAACAGUGAAAUUGUGUUAGAUAUACAGCAAGCUUUAGAAACAAACAUACAUAAAAACAAAGUAUAUCAAGGCGUACCUUCGCAUUGCAUAAACCCAACUGUUAACCAGAUCUUCCAGAUAAGCAACUUGAGACAAAAUUCUGAUAUAUUGACAUCUGUCCUUUCCAGCAUCGAUUUUCAUAUUGAUCCGCCCAACUAAGAGCUCGAGAACUUUCCUUACUUCAAAAGAGACUUCCCUCAGUGAUGUAUAGGUUCCUCUAUACGCAGAUAAUCCAACAGCAACGAGGCCCCUGGCAGUGCCAGAUAAAUCUUUGCCUCUAACAUUGUUGGAACCGGAAGCAGUAGUACUCUGCUCUGAUGGAUUAUGAGGACGAAUGAUACACGAAUUAAACGGCCAUCCUCUCCAAGGACCCGAAACAUCUGCGCUUGGCCCUUCCUUAAGCUUUGAUGUCACCCAACAAAGCUCAGCAAAUUGAGGAUACCGUAGAAUUUGAUAACCAAAUGUAGAGACGGCUAACUCCAAGCUUGAUUUCGGUUUCGCAGUAAUGCUGAUAGGUAUCGGUGGCACUUUCAAAGAACAAUCCUCAGGAGGUUUUGAUUUGAUACCUACUUCUUCCCCUGCAACAUGAUCAGUAUUAUUCUGAUAAGCUGGAUCUCUGCAAUCCUGGUCAGGAUCCUCUCUUUCGUAUGUCUUCGGUACGUCAUAGUGUGUAUGGGUUCCCUGAUGCACCAAAUGAAGAAACACUUGGAUUGCCCGCCUUGACAACUCAGUAGCAGACAAGUCAAUGGCCAUGUCUUGGUCAGAACUUUCAGCAAUUUGUACAGUGAAUUGUGGAACAGCCUCUGACUUAGUUGGCUGAUACUCCUUUGAUAGGUCGGUCUUAAAGAACUGUUGUAUCUUAGGAGGCAGGAGUUUGUAGGGCAUGCCAGAAGUAGCCUAUCACCAAAAAGGAAAAAAAGGAUUUAGUCUCACGUGUUGAUACUCUUCUCAGAGACUUCUAAUCAACAAAGUAGGGAGCACAGAGAUUUGAAAAAGAAGAGUACACGAAACUAAGGCUUAUAUUCACAAAAUACAAGAAAAAAAGCUAUCCGAAAGUACACUAAACAAGCAUAUACGAGAGGUAUUGGAGAAACAAAUUAAGUAAGAAGUUAAGCAUACCAGAAUUAUCAUCUUUGUGGAAACUCGCAAUGAUUCUACUUGCUCAAGAAAUGUGUUCCAAGCAUGUGAAACUCGAGAAGAAUACUGCAACUCCAUUUUCUCCACUGUUUCUGGACGAACGGGAGAAGAAUUUUCUUUUAAAGAAUCAUCAUCACACUCGACCUCCUCAUUCAGUGGAGUUUCUGUCUCUACAGCCCACAAGUCAAUCCUUGGCAUGAAUACCACACAUGAUUUCCUGCUAGAACAUUUCACUACAGGUCGGACAGAUUUACCAGUUAGUAAUCUGGAGAUGGACUAGAACCAAGCAAAUCAACGAAAGACUAAAAGAAAAAAAGUAUGUAGCUGCUUAAAUAUCAUUAUCAGGUACGUAAUGAAAUGUUAAUAACAGACGUACUUAAUAAGUGAGUUACGCCUAGCACCAGAUCCCCAUUUCCUUCUUGUGAAAUUGUCGCCGUGUCUAUCUUCUGCAUCUCCGCAUUUCCAAUAAAACAAUGCAAGAUGCAAGAAGCAAGAUGACGUUGACCAGAUCUAGGUCCUCCAGCAAUAAGCAGUUGGAACCCAGACUUGUUCAUUGAUUCUGAAGGAGCAUUCCCCAACCCAGGAUGUCGGCGGACUCUGUGUACCAUGAACUGCGCAGAACCCAAACUACAGUCGCCUGCACCAGGGGAGCUUGGAACAGAUCUAACCGAGUCACAUCCUCCAUCUAGUAUCCCAGCAUAAGAAAGUCUCUGAACUAUAUCUUUUACAACAUCUACGUCCUGGAGAAGGCUAUCAACAUGAGACCACCAGCAAUCAUCAUUUAUCUUCUUGUCGCCCAAAGCAGAACAGAUCACAUUUUUGAAAUCAACCGCAGCUUUGGAAAGUAGAGGCGGCAGCACGAUGCGCUCUUCAAGAUGAAAAGCAACGAGUAAAGAACACAGUGAUGGUAACAAAGAAGGCACCAAGUAAACAGGAAGAGGAGAAGAAUUUAAGAUCAAGGAGAACAGUCUGAUGCAAGGAAACUACUCCUGAAUCCUCAAUCAACAUUGCAGAAUUCGAAGUAUCAUCACCAUUCUCUUUGAUCAAAACUAAGCCGUCUGUAAUCUCCACAACUGGCUGAUGAUUGUCGGUAAGAUCCGUAGAUGCUCUAGGGUCUGGACAAUUGAUGUUUUGUGUAUCUUCUUUCAGGUCUCCUUUUGAUCGAUCAGAUGUUCCUUGCUCAGUUGGCUCAUCCCUCACUGUCGCAUCAGCUACGGAACACGACAAUGGAUUCAUCGACUCUGUUUGAGCAUUUGAUUCAAAACU
This 2710-nucleotide long non-coding RNA is filed under the name Brassica napus (rape). Its description in RNAcentral is "long non-coding RNA (BNAP_LNC013503)". The record is from RNAcentral. Lineage: Eukaryota; Viridiplantae; Streptophyta; Magnoliopsida; Brassicales; Brassicaceae.